GUUUCCGGACAGAUUGUAAUUACCAAUAUUAUAUGCAUAAUAAUGUGUUUGACAGGGUUAGCUAAGCUCUGCAUUAUUGUUUUUAGAUCUGUCUGCUUUGUGGUGACUAGAUUGAAGGCCAGGAGACUGGAAGUCAAGGAUAACUAGCCUUGGUUAGUUGAUGCCAUUGGGCUACGAUUAGAGCAAAGCUAAGAAACCCUAGCAGACACCAUAAAAAGAUUUCCAGCCUCGGUACACCACGCCUCACCGAACUAAAGUCUAAUUCCGAGAAUUACAAAAUCGCCAGUAAGACACUGCGGCCUGCGCUUUUGGAGGCUUCAGUGGACAUAUUACUGAGUGGUCUGAGUCCUGUUGUCGGUGAUUUUGCACUCAAGCCAAGGAAGGCACAGAAUUUGGGAAGAGCUCAGGGAAACCACCUCCACCCACUUCUGCAGCAGGGAGCACACAGACUAAGAGAAAGAAAAAACUCCCUGUUCCUUCCAGGACUACACAGAAUCCUCAGCAUUUCGUGAAGAACUCAAGGUGCUCCAAGGCAGCUGCUGCCCUGUUUCUAAACAAUGCGCACUUCCUCUAAGAAGGCUCUCUCAACCUUCAAAAAAAGGGGGGCUAUUGGUAUUAAUUAUUAAUAGUAAUAUGGGCAGUCAGAAUCUCGCCAGAGAGACAACCUAACUGGGAAAAUGGAUCAAGCAGAAUGCAGAAGUUGCAACUAGGGUGAUGAAUAUGAAGGCACUGUAGUGACUCUGAGUUGAAUCAAAUGUAAUUUCCGCGGAAAAAAAUUGAAUGGUACUGAGAACGUGGGGAUGCCCCCGCACAUCAGUAGUAUAG
RNAcentral lists this long non-coding RNA (825 nucleotides) under Felis catus (domestic cat). RNAcentral's name for it is "lncRNA (ENSFCAG00000050917.1)". The record is from RNAcentral. Lineage: Eukaryota; Metazoa; Chordata; Mammalia; Carnivora; Felidae.